CGAGAGGUUUAGAGAC
Molecule: transfer RNA, 16 nt
Filed under: Crotalus lepidus klauberi
Lineage: Eukaryota; Metazoa; Chordata; Lepidosauria; Squamata; Viperidae
Description: partial tRNA-Ser
Source: RNAcentral